Non-coding RNA from Manis javanica (Malayan pangolin), 6784 nucleotides. Lineage: Eukaryota; Metazoa; Chordata; Mammalia; Pholidota; Manidae. The record is from RefSeq and is a predicted model, not a curated record.
AGUGGGCCCUGCAGCCAUUUCCAGCCUCUCCUCCUAGAAGGUGGAAUGGAGGAGCCUUUUCUGCACACCAGAGCUGGGGGAAGGGAGGGAUCAGAAACACCCAGGAGGCGUCGGACCUCCCUCCCCUUAAGUCUGAGGGGCUGAGAGGAUGCUUGAGGCCCAUGAGGUCCUUCUCAGGAGCACCAAAUGCAGAACCAAAUGGACGGGAGACUGUGGCCGCUCUCCUGGUCUCCUGCCCACACCUCUGCUCCAUCAGCACCCAUGGCAGACCCCAUCAACCUUCAGAAAUCUCAGUGAUGUCACCAGUUGCAAAUGGAGCUUCUGAUCAAAUGAGGUCUGGAGUGUUACCACAGUGUGUGAAGCAAUCCCAGCUACCCAGCUGUCCACACCAGAGGAAGCCAAGCAUCAACACUAGACACACUGACAGGUCCAGUAUGGCUCUGUGGCUCUCCCCACUCAAACAAACGACAGUAACAAAGAACAAAACACAACACCUGGAGGAACCCCUGUGGACCCACUGCUGAACAGGCUAUCACUAUGAAGUCUCUCCAGUGCUUCAAAACCCUGACACUUGUUGGAAAUUCACUUUCCAUGGCGUUCCCCCAAGGAACACAUUUGCUGAGACGCACCUCACAGAGGAAGCAAGAGAAAGGGAAGGUUGUCUGCUCUGGUCCCCUUGUUAUCUAUUUUCCAAACUGCAGCCAGAGUGUGAUUUUUCAAAAGCCUAAGUCAGUCCAUAUCACUCCUCUAUUCAAAACCCUGUCUGACUUCUAACUUCACUCAGAAAAACUCCAAAUCCUCACAAUGGCCUAAAAAGCCCCACCUACCUACUCCCUCCCGGUGUCCUGGCUGCUCUCUGUCCUCUUGGCCCAGCCCCUUCCCUGCAUUCAUUGCUCUCUCUAGGACACUCCUCCUUGGGAGGUCCACAUGGCCACCCCUCACCUCCCUUCAAGUCUGCUCAAUGUCACCUUCUUGGUGAGACCCCCCUGCCCCCACCUGGGCCCUCCCCACCCCCUGGCCCUGGUCUGCCUCUCUUCCAUUGCUCAUCACCGAACACACAGAUGUGUUACUUAUUCAUGAGGUCUGUCUCAGACACCAGGAUGCCCUUCACAAGGGCAGCUCUGCUCCCAUCGCUGCUGGGUAGGCACUUAUCAUUGUGGGAUGACUGUGGAGGGGAGGAUGGCGCCAGGCUCUCGCCCUCACCUCAGUGUGCAGCCUCUCAGUGUAUUUCUCCAUGACCAGAGGGUCUGGGGCUUCCUGAGAAGGGGUAGUGCAGUCAGGGACAGGGUCUUCCACCAGAAGCCUGUCCCGACUCAAAGAUUUCAUCGGUUUCUUGUUAUCCUUUGCCUUGUGCUUCUUGCUGUUUAAACGUUCCUGCUUAGAGAGACAGAGACAUGCAUGGCCUUCAAGAGCUCCUGUGGGAGGUCCUGGACUUUCUCAAGAGCAGCUCACUGGGAGAGCUGGGGCAUCCUGUGGGGCUGAAGACGAGCAAGGAAAGAAGAUGGGAGGAAACACACAGCUCACUUUGCUGCGACGGCUCCCCAGACAGCAGCAGGGAGCUGUGGGGACUGCUGAGGCAGAUGUGCGGGCAUAGAGUGUCUGCAGCGUCUUCUAGCACCUGAGUUCAAGGGGAGUCCUGGGACUGCCUGCCCAGAACCCCUGGCCAGCCGCUAAAGGCAAGGAGGUGGAGCCAGCUCUGCUGGUGGGGUACCUACCACGUGUGGUGCAGGAAGUCUGACUGCAACAGCCUCUGCUCCCGGUACAGCUCCAGGGUUGCUUUGUUGAGUCUGAUGAGGGCAUCUUCUCUCUGGUUCUCCUCAGGAAGUGCCAUCAUUGCCUGUAGGAUCACAGGUACCAUGGGCAACUGUUCUGUCCAGCAUACCGAGGAUCCAGGUCCUCUAGUGAUGGACAUGGUGUGGUGAGGACAGGUGGCCAGGAGGGGCUGCAGUCAUGGAGAAUCUGUUUGGGGUGCCUUCUGUGGGAGCCUGGGACCUGCCCCAGAAAUCUAUACCCCUGACCCCUCCCUCCAAGGUUUACCAGAGUCAGAGCAGAAGCUCCUCCUGCACUGGCCUAGGCACCUGAGACAAAGAUGAUGCAAGAGAUUGCCUUCUCUGGGCCCUCAGGUUUGUCUUCUUUUCCACAGGGGCAUGUGGGGCCGUGGGGACUCUCCCUUGGCUAGUGCAGGAGCACUGGCACUAUGCCAAGGCCACUCCACCAACCCCUUCCGAGUCAGGGAGCACCUUUCUGAGGGUCUCCAAGCAGAGGUUCCACUCGGGUAGCAGCAGGCUAUCCAGCUUCCAAGGACUCUUGGCCCUCUCCAGGUCUGGGCUCCCCUCCACCAGGAUCUCCUCCAUGACGCUCUUCCACUGAGAACCCUUGGCCCCCAUUCCAGGCUUCUGGGACCUGAAAGAAUCUCUGGAGUCGCUGAGAGCCUCAUUGUCCUGCCCGGGCAGCUGGGUUUCCAAGACUGGGCUCUUACAGUGCGCCACAGAAGGCUUGACUUUCACUGAGGCCUUCUCCAGAUAGGCCGACUGGGCCAUGGCAGUCCUGGGCCUGGGGCUCACGUGCUCCUCCUCAUCUGGCCUGGCCUCCUCGGCCUUGGCAGGCAACAUCACAUACUGGCGCCACAGCCCAUGCAGGUUCUGCACCACUUGGUGCUGGUAAUACAGCUGCAGCAGAGGGCUGCUCUGAGGAGAAAGUGAGUUACUGGUGGAAGAUGCUCAGAACAGGUCCUGGCACGUAGAAGUGUUUGCUACCACUUUCACCCCGGGCACAUCUGAUGGGGCAGGAGCCGGUACGGGACCUGUACCCGAGGAUUCCUGUGGUGGAACAAGUCCUCCUCCGUGAGGUAGGCGUCCACAGGUGACUGCGCACGCUCCGGGGUCAGGACCCCCCUCAGCAGCUCCUGCAGCAUGCUCUCCACGAUGGUGACUGCUUCGUGGGCGGCCAACUUGUUCUGGGGAAAGGACGGUGGACAAGAUGGCAGGCUUUCAAAUGCAUGCUGCAUCCUCGAGCAGAGCCAGAUCUCUCAGGACUUUGUGCCAUUGUCUGCCUGUCUGUCUCAAAACCCCAAAUAUCUUUGUUGAGGCUGAAAGGAGUCAGAGGAGGCCCCAGUCCCAGAGAGGCUGCUCCUUAGUGGGAUCAGGAGGUCACACAGUCAGCAUAUCCCCAAGAUUAGGAAGAAGGGCAAGGCACAGGGACCACAAGGUCUGGGCCCUGCUGAGAACGUGGCUUGGCCAUACUUGGUGUCUCAGGAACAGUGGAGGGAUAUCUUGUGUGAGAGGUUGGUCUUAUAGUCACCAAGUAAAGUAGAUAUGACAUUUGUCAAAAUUACCUGUGAUCACUGCAGACAGAACCCCAGCUGGAGUAGCUGGCUCAUGUUUGGGGACCACAGUAAAAAAGCACAGCUUUCAACAGAAUCCCCAAAGCAAUGGCACCAAAUGGCGAGCUAUGAAAUGGACUGGGGGCUGGCUCCCCAGUUCCCACCCCACAUGCUCGCGGGUGUCAGCCCCACUAGUCAAAUUGUCCUCUCUAGCCUUACCAGUUCCAGGCAACUCCACUGGAGAGCAUCAGACAGCAGUGAACAAAUAGAGUAGGCAUGCAAAGGCUGUGGAAGUACUUCAAUGGAGACUGUACCUUAAGGUUGGCUCAUUUCCUUCUAACACAGUGGGGGCCAUGCAGGUGGGGCUCAAAGCUGCCCCUCCUCUUGCCUGCCCACCCAUCUUUUACAUCACAAAGUCCUGGGAACUGUUUGUGGAGCAAAAAGAUCUGCAUGCUUGUGAAAAAUUCACCUCUUAGGCUGGGAGAAAUAAGAUCGCUCAGGCAGUGCCAAGAACACCAGGGUAACCUAUCUGGUGUCCUCAGGGGCCAAGAUCCUGGGUCCCUUACCUCUAUUAACUUCCUCUCUUCCCUAAAAAUGUCCUGGGUCAGAGAGACUGCGUGGAGAUUGACCUGCAGGAUAGCACCCCCUAAUAGGGUGGGGUGGGUUCUGAACUCCCAGUGUUCCCUGAAGAUGCCGGCAUUCAAAGACUUGAAGAAGAAGGUAAAGCUUUUAGUUUCUCCAGGCAGAAUCACACCUAAGAGGGACAGAAACAGGUUUCACUAUGCAGGAGCAGCUGAGAAAGUUGACUAAGCCCUAAGCCUAUGCAUAUAUAGUUAGCUGAGUCCCAGUAGGGCAACCAACCGUCCCAGUUUACCCAGAACUGAGGGGUUUCCUGGCAGCUGGGCCUUUCAGUGCUGUAAGUAGGACAGUUCCAAGCAAACAGAGACAGCUGGUCACCCUAGCCUCAGGCCUGUGCAUAUAAGCCACUGAACCCCUAGAAAGUUUCUGCUCAGUGGUGGCUCAUGUCCCUCUGUUCUUAAGAGCUCACCAUUCCCCCAACAGAUAUGAAUAGUUAGGAGAUGACAAAAUUCACAGAAAAAAUGGGAGGGACAAGAUAGGGAAGAGGGGUUCAAACUUGGGCACUGGCUAGACUUUGCUCCUCACAGACAUCAAGGACAGUAGCAGGUGGGCAGGGCAGCUUCUCCUAGAUACCUUCCCGAUUAUUAAAGUAAAACCGUUGCAUCCUGUUUCUUUUCAGGUCUUGGAAAGAGUCCAGCUGGGACUGCCGUCGCCAGUCGUACCAAAUGGCCACCGUGCCAUUAUUGACCACGGUCAGUUCCGAAGAUGUUUUCUCCCCUUCUAGAGUUUCAAAGGUCAAGCGGACAGCGAUUCCAACAUGCUUCUAGGGAAGGAAGAGAUAUGAGAAAUGUCUUUGAGGGAGGUUCUGGCCUAGGAUGACCAACAUCCCAGUUUGCCAGGGGCUUUUCUGGGUACAGCACAAAAGCCCUGUGUUGCAGGCCUCCAGGGCCUGGCCUCCCUCAAACGGAGUGGUGUCAUACCCAGAUACCACUGGGUACGUGGUUGUGUCUGAGGUUGCCAUCAAUGGUAAUAUGAGAUAAAACUGAUUUUACAUCUGAUGAACAUUUCUGCUCCUUAGCAACUGAAGAAUAUUUUAGAACCUUCUUAAAGCCAUACCUGUUUGAGAAUAUUUGCUUAAUUUACAAGCUUGGGGGCUAGUACAAAGAGGGUGGCUUGUGACACUCUCUUCAGCCUUGUGAUUUUACUCUGGCUCAAGUUGGUGUCACUGUUAACCAUUUUCAGACAUGCUAAAUACAUGACCAGAUAAAAACGCAAAUAGGUGGCCAUGCAAGCUCCUUGUGACUGCUGCAGUCCCCCAGCACUGCACCCAAGGGAGGCCCUACCAGCAGGUGGAUGAGGGUGAAGCCAGUUUUACCUUGUCCUGUGGGUUACUGCCUCUGAUCCAGCGAGCUGGUUUCCCACAGAAAAGCAGAGAAGGGCCAAGAACAGGCAUGGGAACCGCAUCAGGGCAGCUGGCUAAUAAAUCUCUGUAAGAAAAACCAUUGACUUAUUUUCCCUGAGGCUGCCCCAGUCCUUGCCACAUGGCCUAUGGAAAUAGCUGCCAGGAAGUCUGGAGAAGUGCCCGUUUCUGGCCGCCAGUGGAGUAUUGUCAGCUCCACUUUCGCUCAGCUUCACCCUGCUCUGUUCCUACAGGUGGGAGCUUCUUAGAUGUACAGACUCUUUACACACAGCCAUCAGUGUGCACAGCACUGGGAGAGUGUGGGGGGGACAUUUACCAUUGAAGACCGUCUGGGAGAUACCCAUGAGGAGCUGGUUGCUGGAAGGAAGCAGAGGGUCAUAGAAAAGCUAACACAGGUAUCGGAAUGGUCUGGAGGAGGAGGUGGCAGCCACUGGAGAGAGGCUGGGAUGGAGGUACCCUGAUUCCAGAAGAGGAAGCCUGACCCUUAACAUCUGUAGGUGCCAGGGAAAAGCCACAUUUUCCAACUUCUCUGCCUAGGACCCAAGCCCAACUCACAAGCUCAGCGUGUCCUCAGCGGGGCUUUCUUGGCUGCUUUCAAACACUGAAUAGUCUUCCACUUCCACUGUCGAGAAAGCCUGCCCUCUGCCCACCACCUCCAGGCCAUCAAUAUCCUCAGAAAGAAGAAGAAAGGCAAGAUUAGCUGCUGACUGAACACAGGCACCACCCUAAGGGGCUCCUGGGCAUGGGAGCAUUACCAACCUGCUGGCUGAAACCCAGCUCUGCCAUGAUGCUCUGCAACUCCUUGCGCCGGGAGACCAGAAACAGACUCCGAUCCCAGGUGUAGAGGUACCAAGCAUCUUUCUGGGACUUCAGUCCUAGAGCAGGGUCCCAGGGUACUCAGCACAGGCUGCUGCCCUGCCCCUUCCUACCCACUCUCAAGGGCUCUGAGAGUACCCAUCCCAGUGCUAUUUCUGAGAAAGGUGGAAAUACAGCUUCCCUCUGCAACAGGGUGCCCAUACUCUUGCCCCACAGCUACUGCUUAGCAGCCUGUGUUAGGCCUCUUGCAAAAUUAGCUUCCAAACCGCCAAACUUCGGAUUAUAAUAAAAAUAACAAUAGCAGCUACCUUUCACGGAGUGUGUGACAAUGGACCAGAACCUCUUAAUGCACAUCAGUGUCUCCUUUAACCCUCUUAUGAGCCCAGCAAUAUUUUAGAUGGGGAAACUGAGGGCCAGAGAGGUUAAGCAACUUGCUAGAGUUCACAAAUACAACAAAGCUGGGAUCUGAACCCCUGCAGGCCAGCAUCUCUUAAAGUAAUGCCACCCAAGAGAAAUAUGCAAACUACGAACAGGAGCCACGUAGCUAACUUUAAAUUUUCUCAGCACUGUGUUUAGAAAGGCAAAAGGAAACAUGGAAUUUUAGUAAUGUAGCUGAAUCCAAUGUAUCACAAAUACUAUUUCAACAU